RNAcentral lists this ribosomal RNA (289 nucleotides) under Aeromonas sp. CSeC0_42. Its description in RNAcentral is "partial 16S ribosomal RNA". It matches the Rfam family "Bacterial small subunit ribosomal RNA", at positions 66 to 353 of the family's 1533-position model. Lineage: Bacteria; Pseudomonadati; Pseudomonadota; Gammaproteobacteria; Aeromonadales; Aeromonadaceae. The record is from RNAcentral.
GCAGCGGGAAGUAGCUUGCUACUUUUGCCGGCGAGCGGCGGACGGGUGAGUAAUGCCUGGGGAUCUGCCCAGUCGAGGGGGAUAACAGUUGGAAACGACUGCUAAUACCGCAUACGCCCUACGGGGGAAAGGAGGGGACCUUCGGGCCUUUCGCGAUUGGAUGAACCCAGGUGGGAUUAGCUAGUUGGUGGGGUAAUGGCUCACCAAGGCGACGAUCCCUAGCUGGUCUGAGAGGAUGAUCAGCCACACUGGAACUGAGACACGGUCCAGACUCCUACGGGAGGCAGCA